GAGGCAAUGAAUAUAUAAAAUGUAUAAAACAAUAUUUCUCGACAUCUAUAAAAAUGUCGUAAAGAUUUAUUAAGUUUUCUCUUCGUAAGUUUCAAGAAAGCAUAAAAAUGCCGAAGACACGAAUUAAAAAACUAUUUAGAAAUAAUACAGAGAUAAAUAGUUUGAUGCAACCAAUGGCGAAUAAAAAGAAAUUAAAAUACGCAUAUAUCAAUUAAAUUUAGUAGAUAUUAUAAAAGAUUAUAAAACGCAAAGGACAAUUUCUGAGGCUGCUGUAAUGAAAAACGAAGAAAAUCAAUUUAACACCAAUAGAAAAUCUGUAAAAAAAGCAAAUAUGGAAGAAAAACAACCAAAAUUAUAUAAAAGAAAUAAUGGAUAAGAAAGAUUCUUUAAAUUAUAAUUAUGUACUGAAAAUACUGUCUGUACUGAUACUGAAAAAAUAGUAUACAAUGAUAAUAUCAAUAUAUCCAACCUACAUAAUGUAAAUGCAACUGUUAACAAUUUUGCUGCAAAUAGCAACAACAAAGAAAAUAUUUUGGAUAGCAAUGAAAUAAAACACAAUAAUAAAACUAACACAUCAAGCA
Molecule: long non-coding RNA, 581 nt
Organism: Monomorium pharaonis (pharaoh ant)
Lineage: Eukaryota; Metazoa; Arthropoda; Insecta; Hymenoptera; Formicidae
Exons: 4
Source: RefSeq, a predicted model, not a curated record